AGCAGCCGCGGUAAUUCCAGCUCCAAUAGCGUAUAUUAAAGUUGCUGCAGUUAAAAAGCUCGUAGUUGAAUUUCGGGACUAAUAUGUCGGUCGUGCCUCGGUACGUACUGGCUUAUUGGUUUCUCCUUUCUGAAGAACCAUGAUGUCAUUUAUUUGGUGUCGUGGGGAAUCAGGACUGUUACUUUGAAAAAUUAGAGUGUUUAAAGCAGGCUCACGCUUGAAUACAUUAGCAUGGAAUAAUGAAAUAGGACGUUUGAUUCUAUUUUGUUGGUUUCUAGGAUCGACGUAAUGAUUAAUAGGGAUAGUUGGGGGCAUUAGUAUUCAAUUGUCAGAGGUGAAAUUCUUGGAUUUAUUGAAGACUAACUACUGCGAAAGCAUUUGCCAAGGAUGUUUUCAUUAAUCAAGAACGAAAGUUAGGGGAUCGAAGACGAUCAGAUACCGUCGUAGUCUUAACCAUAAACUAUGCCGACUAGGGAUCGGAUGAUGUUAA
Molecule: ribosomal RNA, 490 nt
Filed under: uncultured Glomus
Lineage: Eukaryota; Fungi; Glomeromycota; Glomeromycetes; Glomerales; Glomeraceae
Description: SSU rRNA
Rfam family: Eukaryotic small subunit ribosomal RNA
Source: RNAcentral